GUGCAACCCCCUCCCCCACUA
This 21-nucleotide transfer RNA is filed under the name Nestor notabilis (Kea). RNAcentral's name for it is "partial tRNA-Met". Lineage: Eukaryota; Metazoa; Chordata; Aves; Psittaciformes; Psittacidae. The record is from RNAcentral.